CUUGCCCCUUGAGGCGUUGCAGUCCGACUUUGUGUCGAUCCUGUGUCAUGAGGUGGCAGAGAAUAAACGGUCUACAUCAUCAGAUUUGUUCGGUUCCCAUCACAGCGGGGAUUUGACAUGAUGUUUGUACCUACAAA
Molecule: non-coding RNA, 137 nt
Organism: Xyrichtys novacula (pearly razorfish)
Lineage: Eukaryota; Metazoa; Chordata; Actinopteri; Labriformes; Labridae
Source: the annotation of a GenBank genome assembly